This 301-nucleotide ribosomal RNA is filed under the name uncultured bacterium. Its description in RNAcentral is "partial 16S ribosomal RNA". It matches the Rfam family "Bacterial small subunit ribosomal RNA", at positions 509 to 807 of the family's 1533-position model. The record is from RNAcentral.
CAGCAGCCGCGGGAAUACAGAGGGUGCGAGCGUUAAUCGGAUUUACUGGGCGUAAAGCGCGCGUAGGUGGUUUGUUAAGUUGGAUGUGAAAUCCCCGGGCUCAACCUGGGAACUGCAUCCAAAACUGGCAAGCUAGAGUAUGGUAGAGGGUGGUGGAAUUUCCUGUGUAGCGGUGAAAUGCGUAGAUAUAGGAAGGAACACCAGUGGCGAAGGCGACCACCUGGACUGAUACUGACACUGAGGUGCGAAAGCGUGGGGAGCAAACAGGAUUAGAUACCCCGGUAGUCCCUGUCUCUUAUAC